GUGGGGAAUCUUGCACAAUGGGGGAAACCCUGAUGCAGCGACGCCGCGUGAGCGAUGAAGCCCUUCGGGGUGUAAAGCUCUUUCGGCAGGGAAGAUGAUGACGGUACCUGCAGAAGCAGCUGCGGCUAACUACGUGCCAGCAGCCGCGGUAAUACGUAGGCAGCGAGCGUUGUUCGGAGUUACUGGGCGUAAAGGGUGUGUAGGCGGUUUUCCAAGUUUGGUGUGAAAUCUCCCGGCUCAACUGGGAGGGUGCGCCGAAAACUGGGAGACUAGAGUGCGGGAUGGGAGAGUGGAAUUCCUGGUGUAGCGGUGAAAUGCGUAGAUAUCAGGAGGAACACCGGUGGUGUAAACGGCUCUCUGGACCGCAACUGACGCUGAGACACGAAAGCGUGGGGAGCAAACAGGAUUAGAUACCCUUGUAGUCC
Molecule: ribosomal RNA, 425 nt
Filed under: uncultured bacterium
Lineage: Bacteria
Description: bacterial SSU rRNA
Rfam family: Bacterial small subunit ribosomal RNA
Source: RNAcentral